UAAUAUAUCUAAGACAAAUCCUUGUUUAGUUGUGAUAGAUAUUUACCUGAAUGCUCAGAAUUACUUAUUAUCACAAGCUCGUUACAUUAGAAAAAGACUAAAUUGCCCCCCAUAGUUAGUUAAAUGAUUUGGU
Molecule: non-coding RNA, 133 nt
Organism: Populus trichocarpa (black cottonwood)
Lineage: Eukaryota; Viridiplantae; Streptophyta; Magnoliopsida; Malpighiales; Salicaceae
Source: Rfam